Non-coding RNA from Pelobates cultripes (western spadefoot toad), 267 nucleotides. The record is from the annotation of a GenBank genome assembly. NCBI's taxonomy places the organism in Eukaryota, Metazoa, Chordata, Amphibia, Anura, Pelobatidae.
CACGUUACAUUUUAACAUAGGACCCCUUAUUUGAUAGCAGCUGCACAAGUCUUGCAUCCAUUGAACUUGUGAGUUUUUGGACAGUUUCUGCUUGAAUUUGUUUGCAAGAUGUCAGAAUAGCCUCCCAGAGCUGCUGUUUGGAUGUAAACUGCCUCCCACCCUCAUAGAUCUUUUGCUUGAGGAUGCUCCAAAGGUUCUCAAUAGGAUUGAGGUCAGGGGAGGAUGGAGGCCACACCAUGACUUUCUCUCCUUUUAUCCCCAUAGCAG